Molecule: ribosomal RNA, 407 nt
Filed under: uncultured bacterium
Lineage: Bacteria
Description: bacterial SSU rRNA
Rfam family: Bacterial small subunit ribosomal RNA
Source: RNAcentral
AGUGAACGCUGGCGGCAGGCCUAACACAUGCAAGUCGAGCGGCAGCGCGUCCGACCACCCUCGGGUGGUCGGAUGGCGGCGAGCGGCGGACGGGUGAGGAAUGCAUCGGAAUCUGCCUCGUUGUGGGGGAUAACGUAGGGAAACUUACGCUAAUACCGCAUACGACCUACGGGUGAAAGUGGGGGACCUUCGGGCCUCACGCGAUGAGAUGACGCCGAUGCCGGAUUAGCUAGUUGGCGGGGUAAAGGCCCACCAAGGCGACGAUCCGUAGCUGGUCUGAGAGGAUGAUCAGCCAACAACUGGAACUGAGACACGGUCCAGACUCCUACGGGAGGCAGCAGUGGGGAAUAUUGGACAAUGGGGGGCAACCCUGAUCCAGCCAUGCCGCGUGUGUGAAGAAGGCCUGG